ACUACGGGAGGCAGCAGUGGGGAAUAUUGCACAAUGGGGGGAACCCUGAUGCAGCAACGCCGCGUGGGUGAAGAAGUACUCCGGUAUGUAAAGCCCUGUCAGCAGGGAAGAAAAUGACGGUACCUGACCAAGAAGCCCCGGCUAACUACGUGCCAGCAGCCGCGGUAAUACGUAGGGGGCAAGCGUUAUCCGGAUUUACUGGGUGUAAAGGGAGCGUAGACGGCAAGGCAAGUCUGGAGUGAAAGCCCGUGGCACAACCACGGGACUGCUUUGGAAACUGUGUUGCUGGAGUGCAGGAGGGGUAAGCGGAAUUCCUAGUGUAGCGGUGAAAUGCGUAGAUAUUAGGAGGAACACCGGUGGCGAAGGCGGCUUACUGGACUGUAACUGACGUUGAGGCUCGAAGGCGUGGGGAGCAAACAGGAUUAGAUACCCGGGUAGUC
Molecule: ribosomal RNA, 440 nt
Filed under: uncultured bacterium
Lineage: Bacteria
Description: partial 16S ribosomal RNA
Rfam family: Bacterial small subunit ribosomal RNA
Source: RNAcentral